RNAcentral lists this transfer RNA (69 nucleotides) under Hydrolagus mitsukurii (spookfish). Its description in RNAcentral is "tRNA-Asp". The record is from RNAcentral. Lineage: Eukaryota; Metazoa; Chordata; Chondrichthyes; Chimaeriformes; Chimaeridae.
AAAGUACUAGUAAAGCCAUUACAGUAUCUUGUCAAGAUAUAAUCACGAGUGAAACCCUCGUGUACUUUA